GGCGUCUGCAGACCAGGUGACAGCUGGCGAGUGGCUGCAUCUCUGGCCGCUGCUGCAGUCGCGGGCGCAGAAGAGGGUCCGGUCCCAGGAACCCGGAUCAAAGCUUCCACGGUGCGAGGGGACCGGGCUUCUGGGGGUCCUGGAAAUCGCAACGGGAGCUGGGCGCGGGAGGGGCCCAGGCUUGGCCCCUCCUGGAAGCGCGGGCUCUGGUCUCCGAGGGGAGGCCCCGACCGUCCAGCGGAGCCGCCAGGCCCCUGACAUUUAUGGGAUCACAGACUAAGCGAGUCCUGCUCACCCCGCUCAUGCAUCCAGCUCGCCCUUUCCGGGUCUCCAACCAUGACAGGAGCAGCCGGCGUGGGGUGAUGGCAAGCAGCCUGCAGGAGCUCAUCAGCAAGACUCUGGAUGCCCUCGUCAUCACCACCGGACUGGUCACUCUGGUGCUGGAGGAAGAUGGCACCAUGGUGGACACAGAAGAGUUCUUUCAGACCUUGGGAGACAACACACAUUUCAUGAUCUUGGAAAAAGGACAGAAGUGGAUGCCGGUCAGCCAGCACAUCCCCACUUGCUCACCGCCGAAGAGGUCGGGAAUAGCGAGAGUCACCUUCGACUUGUACAGGCUGAACCCCAAGGACUUCAUCGGCUGCCUUAACGUGAAGGCCACCAUGUAUGAGAUGUACUCCGUGUCCUACGACAUCCGGUGCACGGGACUCAAGGGCCUGCUGAGGAGUCUGCUGCGGUUCCUGUCCUACUCCGCCCAGGUGACGGGACAGUUUCUCAUCUAUCUGGGCACGUACAUGCUCCGGGUGUUGGAUGACAAGGAAGAGCGGCCAUCCCUCCGGUCACAAGCCAAGGGCCGGUUCACGUGUGGAUAGGGAUGCAGGCUGUCACUGGCUCUUGAGCCAAACACUGUGUUUCGUUUGGCUCAAUGACGAAUGUUGAAGAUGCUUUUAUGUUCUGAGCCACAUACACUUGUAGGCCGCUGGUCACGCUGCUCAGGAGCGGUGCCCAGAAAAGGAAAGGGCCUGGUGGUACAUGAAGUGGGGGCUGUGGGCAGGGUGCCGUGGGGGGGAGGCAUAGAGGGCCCUGGGGGUCAUGGGAAGCGACCACGCAGCAGGCGUGCCCAGGAGCGUGUGCAUGUGUCAGAGCCAUUUGGUCCACCAUCUCCUGCAAUAAACCCAUCGCAAGAAUGACCUUCAA
RNAcentral lists this small RNA (1197 nucleotides) under Pongo abelii (Sumatran orangutan). Its description in RNAcentral is "processed transcript". The record is from RNAcentral. Lineage: Eukaryota; Metazoa; Chordata; Mammalia; Primates; Hominidae.